Molecule: non-coding RNA, 709 nt
Organism: Biomphalaria pfeifferi
Lineage: Eukaryota; Metazoa; Mollusca; Gastropoda; Planorbidae
Source: the annotation of a GenBank genome assembly
CCCCACCCCCGCUCCAGUUAAACCUUGUGACAAAGUCUGCAUUCACAUAAACUAGUCAACAUCCUACUGGUAACACUGUACAGAAACAAGUUUAGAAAAAGACAUUUUCAACGACUUAGGUUAGUUUGUUUUAUAACACUGACUUAUAAGAUAUACACACAAAGCAGAUAUUGGGGGUCUUGCCUGCCAUUUUCAUCAAUAGGAUUGAACAUAUGGAGUCUAUAUAGAUUUGGAUACAAGUAAGCCUCUACAACAGACUGCUAAUAGAUAGAUUAUACUCUCUGAUAAUUUCCAGAUUGAACUUUAGUCUGAUGAUUAACAAAACAAAUAUAAUUAAAUCCGACAAAAAAAUUUCAUCAGAUUAUUUAGUUAUAAAAUUAAGUGAAGGUUCUCAUUAUUUAAUUCGCUAAGCUUUUGAGCUGCAGUGAUCUUAAAGAUCACACGUGGACUCUACCAAGUGAAUGUGGGAGAUUACAGAGCAAGUGUAAUAUGUGCCUGUAUAUGUGCUUGUAUAUGUGACUCUUGCAAGAAUUUCAAAAACUAAAAAUAGUAUAAUUUGGUGAGGGGAUGAAAUGUAUUUCUAAUAGAGUAGACUCAGUUCUUUUUAGUAAUUAAAUCAUUCAUAAAUGUGCCCUAAGGGUUAGUAAAAGCUCAGUGUGCCUUAUGGGUUAGUAGAAGCUCAGUGUGCCUUAUGGGUUAGUACAAGCUU